Cephus cinctus (wheat stem sawfly) is the source of this 1523-nucleotide long non-coding RNA. RefSeq lists it as uncharacterized. The transcript is spliced from 3 exons. The record is from RefSeq and is a predicted model, not a curated record. NCBI's taxonomy places the organism in Eukaryota, Metazoa, Arthropoda, Insecta, Hymenoptera, Cephidae.
CCACGUGAGUGUAAUGAACAGAGGACUGGCGAAUCUCAAUGCGGAGGCAGUUUAUAAGGAAAGGAGGAAAGGAAUAUACAGAGGAAGCGUGUAAAACAGUAGAAUGACGAUAGCGCGAAGAGUGUUAAUUAAUACGUAACGUCUCAGGCAAUUAAAGUAAUAACCUAUAAUAAGGAGAGGUUCAAUGAACGAAAUAUUGCAAGAGCAUUUUCCGUGAUGAUCAACGUACAGCUAAGGGAAUCUGUAAUGGACGACGUAGGCUGUGAUAAAUAAAUUUAUGGUACGCAGAAGAUUAUCGUUGACGGUGCUAAAUUGUACGAUAAUUUAAAGGACGUUGAAGUGAUUGAAGAUAUUGAAUGUUGAAUCGAGGAUAUUCUAUAGGAUCACAGAAGAUGGCGCCGAAUAUUCUCAUAUACAAUUCCAGUAUUGAGCCGUCAACGAUAUCCAAAAGGAAUAAGUGACUAAAAAGAAAUAUAUUUUCGUACGAUUAAAAUGGUUUAUAUUAUUUUGAAGAAUUACAAUAGAAAAAAAAAGGCUUUUCUCUAUAUCCAUUUAUUCAGCCAAUGUAUGAAUCAUCUAACCGAAAAAAAUCUUGUACCAGCCAAAUUCCAACGAGCCGCUCAGUCGACAAAGGGUGUCCGGAGGGUGAAAAAUUGAAUUAGCAGAAAAUUGGCGAAAAAAUCAAGGGAAGCCAAGUAAUUCCUUGGGACGCCGUAAGAUAUAUUGUAACAAGGUAAGAAAAGGCAGCCAGGAGUGUCCAUAAAGAAGCGUCCAAUGAAGUGAAGUGGAGUGAAGUGGAAGCUGCGGUACCUCUUUACACAUUUUCACCAAGGCUCUUUCAUCGUCUACUCCGCCCUGGGAUCGACGACAAUGCUCCGCCGUGUCCUGGCACAAAGCUAAACACCCAAAAUAUUGGCAAAUCCUGCUAUUCACCGGGCGCGAGUAUCUCAAGUCCAAUCUCCGGUUAGCUAAUCCUGUUAGACAGCCAAACCGUCACGUUUGUGGCGUUCGAAAAAAUCCCGCUUAAUUUCAACCGGAAGAUGAAUUUACGAAAGCGGAAGUGCCAUUGAAAAAAAAAUAUUUUCUACCGCACUUAGAUUUUGGAAAUUCAGACGUUCUACAGUGGUCGCGCGAUUCUUUUGAAAAAUUUGCAAAAUUACUUUCAAUCCUGACCUCCUCGCCUUUUCUGCGCUUUGACCCGGUGGUUUGAAAAUUUGAAAAAUAUAUUUUUACAAUUUUCUACCAAUCUUUAGACUAGCGGGAAUAACAUUUUUUUUUUACAAAUACAAAAUUUUUUUUACUACCAAUAAUUGUUCUCGUACAAAUAGCUUUGUUCCUGCCAGACUACAGAAAUAAAUUUCACUCAAAAUUUGCGUUCCUCUUCCGCUUUAUCCGACAAACAACAACAACAACAGCCAAUAACUGUACUACCACUUUCCCAAGUUUCCAGGGUUACACGAGGAGUUUAUAAAUUAUGAAUAUUUAAGAAGAUCAGUAUGGCCGACAUCGAGUGGCCGAGCAGC